AACCCAUGAUUUGGGCAUUUCGAAGCAUCAUUUUGAACCUCUCCCAUGUCUCACAGAAAGAUUCAUCUGCUCCUUGUCUGAACAUAAAAAUUUCAAAAUUUUCUUU
This 106-nucleotide small nucleolar RNA is filed under the name Phaseolus vulgaris (common bean). Its description in RNAcentral is "Plant small nucleolar RNA R71". It matches the Rfam family "Plant small nucleolar RNA R71". Rfam says of the family: R71 is a member of the C/D box family of snoRNAs containing the C (UGAUGA) and D (CUGA) box motifs. Multiple nearly identical copies of this snoRNA have been identified in Arabidopsis, and it is thought to function as a 2'-O-ribose methylation guide for 18S ribosomal RNA. The record is from Rfam by way of RNAcentral. Lineage: Eukaryota; Viridiplantae; Streptophyta; Magnoliopsida; Fabales; Fabaceae.